AUGCGAAUGCAAGAAGGAGUCCACAAUGUUGCCUUCGACUUGCCUUUAAAUUUUAGGAGCACUGGUAGCAGGAAACUCGCUCCUCUUGCAGUUGAAAAUGUCCGCACGUUGGGCACAUUCAAAACCGGAAACAGCAUGAGUGGUACAAACGGUCGCGUGACGCGUGAUGCAUCAAACAUUAAAAUGAGACAGGAAGAGCAGACACCAGUCAGAGACGGAAUGAAAAUGACACCAAUGAAGAAAAUGUUUGCGACCAGAAGCGACGCCAGACUUUUCGAUGACGGUUACAGCUUAAAGCCACAUGAUGCACGCUUCACCGGAAACGAUGUCAGGCUGACUGAAAGCAGUGCUAGCCUCACUGCCAGUAACAACAUCCGCAUCGGUGAAACUACGAACAUUAACGGAAACGACGGCGGCUUCAUCGGAAGAAGUGUAACCCCUGCCGAAAAUGCAGCUAGCUCCGCCGGAAAUAGUGUAAGCUUUACCGGAAAUAUUGAAGGUCUAAUCGAAAGUACCACCAUUCACACUGAAGGUGAACCCAGCUAUACCCAUACUGGUUCGAACCUUUCCGGAGGUGACGCCAGCUUCACUAGAAAUGGCGCCAGCUCCACCGGAAAUGGCCUCACCCACGCCGAAUAUAGUGCUAAUUCCAUCAGCAACGAUACCGCGUUCGUUCGGAACGGCCACAACUCUGCUGGAAAUGCCCAUGAUCCCAGUCUUACCGGAAAUGACCCCAGUCUUGCCGGAAAUAACCCCAGUUUUACCGGAAAUGACCCCAGUCUUACCGGAAAUUACCUCAGUCGUACCGGAAAUGAUCCCAGUUUUACCGGAAAUAACCCAGUUUUACCGGAAAUGACCCCAGUCUUACCGGAAAUGACCCCAAUCUUACCGGAAAUGACCCCAAUCUUACCGGAAAUGACCCCAAUCUUACCGGAAAUGACCCCAGUCUUACCGGAAACGGCCCUAGUCUUUCCAGAGAUGACUCCAAUUUUCCCAGAAGUAGUGCCAGUCUUCCAAGAAACGGUCCUGGCUUCGCCCGAAGUGAUUCCAAGCACACCGGAAACGCCAGACGGCGGAACAGGAAACGGCGGCCUCAUAACAAGAGCGCCACAAGCGAAAACGUUCUCAAUCCAGGAAAGGCGUCUUUCCGCCGGAAACCGGUGGGCGAAGUGA
This 1173-nucleotide long non-coding RNA is filed under the name Bemisia tabaci. Its description in RNAcentral is "lncRNA ENSASIAIIG012539". Lineage: Eukaryota; Metazoa; Arthropoda; Insecta; Hemiptera; Aleyrodidae. The record is from RNAcentral.